This 2025-nucleotide long non-coding RNA is filed under the name Brassica napus (rape). RNAcentral describes it as "long non-coding RNA (BNAP_LNC004453)". The record is from RNAcentral. Lineage: Eukaryota; Viridiplantae; Streptophyta; Magnoliopsida; Brassicales; Brassicaceae.
UGAAGAAAAGAAACAAUGCGAAUCGAAAAGCUAAAGAAAUAAUAUGAUUUUGUUUUAUCAGGUCGGUCACAUCCAUAUUUGGUCAACUUUGAAUAUUUAGUGAACUAUUUAGAAUUUUGGGCUCAGUCUUUACUCUGGGCUUGAAUAAAUACGAGCAUUAUAAAGCCGAGGACGAGUAUUAUAAAGCCGACGACGAGCCUAUCAAAUAUAAUAAGACCAUAAUACAAUAUUUCCCGUUCAGCUCAUGAUCAUGUCUCGCCGUCUCGGCUGUUUGUCUCGGUUGUUUGGUAGUGCCAACUGCCAAGUAACAGAACAUUAAUUGACUUCCAAGUUCGAACUACUUUUGUUGAAUUCUUGUCUUUUUAUAGUCAGCUAGAACUUUAGUAAUAGAUUUAUUUAUAUGUUAAUGUAUAAGUUAGAUUUGGUGCUUGACAUUUGAGUUUACAUUGUUGACUUAAAACCUGCUUUCGAGAAGAUAAAAGACUUUUCUUUUAUUUAUAUACCACUCAAGACAAAUUUCAAACUAUUUUAGAAAAUGUAUUAUAUUCAUAUUUUUUACAGAAAUAAAUAAACUGAAAUUUAUACACAUAUUUAAAAUUCUCUUUAACAAUUAUGAUGUUUAAUUAAGAUUGUGUUUACUGUUCUAUUUGCACAUACUAAAAUUGUAUCACAAACUUAAACGAAUUUUUUAUUGUACGUAAUAAAUUCUACACGAAAACCAAUAAUUAAUUUUUUUGAACCAUAGACAAUAGUUGGUUGCUAGUUGCUACAUUUCUUCGGCGCAGUUGAUGAAAUCCGAACAUAGCACCUUUACUCUUAAGAUAGAAGACUUUAUCACUAAAGCUAGUAAAAAAAGCCUUAAAAAGAUAUUACUAUUAUCAUUUAAAGAUAUAUUAGUAAUGAGAAACUCUAGACAAAAAAAUUAUAGUAACCUACACAUAGUGUGCAUUUUUAAUAUUGCUUCCAACUGGAGGUAUUGAGCAAAAUGAGUCUUCACGAAUCCAUUACUAACAUACACAAUCUUUCUCUUCAUAUUUGGCUCAUAGAGUAAAUUUGUUCUCUACUCACCACACCUAUAUAAAUACAGUACGAAAUCCAUGGCUAAUAUACAUGUUUUUGAAAUAAUUUUCGUACAACAUAUAUAUAAUCAUAUAUUGAACAUGUACAGAAUUUAUCAUAAGAAAAUUACGUGAAAAUAUCAAAACUAUAAAGGUCAAUUAUCUAACUACUUAUAUAGAAAUUCUUGAAAAAGAAACUAAAACCAUAUACAAUUUAGAAUAAUCAGUUUGUUUCAAAUUACUAAGACUCAGCAAAAUAUUGGAAUAUUCAAGCUAAAAGUCCGGUUCAAGAAAAUCAACUGACUAGUCCCGUGGAGACAUGCAAUAAAUGUACUUUACCAUUUUCUUCGUUCAUUUCAUUUAAAUUAUUCUCUCCAUUCCAUUAAGAUAGACUUUUUAGAAAAAAAUUUUUGUUUCACAAAUAUAUGUAUUUAUUGUGUUUUCUAUGAAAAAAUUAUAAACUUCAAAAAAAUUAAUUGAUGCGAAUCGAAAAGCUAAAGAAAUAAUAUGAUUUUGUUUUAUCAGGUCGGUCACAUCCAUAUUUGGUCAACUUUGAAUAUUUAGUGAACUAUUUAGAAUUUUGGGCUCAGUCUUUACUCUGGGCUUGAAUAAAUACGAGCAUUAUAAAGCCGAGGACGAGUAUUAUAAAGCCGACGACGAGCCUAUCAAAUAUAAUAAGACCAUAAUACAAUAUUUCCCGUUCAGCUCAUGAUCAUGUCUCGCCGUCUCGGCUGUUUGUCUCGGUUGUUUGGUAGUGCCAACUGCCAAGUAACAGAACAUUAAUUGACUUCCAAGUUCGAACUACUUUUGUUGAAUUCUUGUCUUUUUAUAGUCAGCUAGAACUUUAGUAAUAGAUUUAUUUAUAUGUUAAUGUAUAAGUUAGAUUUGGUGCUUGACAUUUGAGUUUACAUUGUUGACUUAAAACCUGCUUUCGAGAAGAUAAAAGACUUUUCUUUUAUUUAUAUAC